AUCCAUUUAUUCCUGCCACAGACUUCAGAAAAAUUGCUGCUUGUCUUCCCUCCCCCACGAGGCUGAGUCCCAGCACCCCAGAUUGUCGUGACUGCCUGGGAUUGGUGACAUCUCCAGUGAAAUGUGUUGGAGCAUCAAAACAGAGUGGGAGAAGCACAGCCUGGCUCUGGGAGCCAAAAAUAGUUUUCCUCUCACUUUGAAUUCUCUCAGUCUCACUUCCCCUGGCACAGGAGGAAAUGUGAUGGUGUUUACAGAGCAGAAGCACUAGGACUCAGGAGAUGUGGAAGGUGGCCCUGCUGCUCUACCUGCAACAGCUCUCCAUGGUUCUGACCUCCUGUCAGGAACACCUGCACUAAAAUCCCUCUGCCUUUUCCUGUGUGAUCCUAUAGUGUCUAACACAACCUCAGAGAUAACCCCAGUAAUGUAAUCCUGAGCUGACAUCGAUGCGGGCCAUCAGCAAUGUGGAAAUUUCCCUCUGUGAUGAGGGAUGUCAUGGCUGGCACAAGCUCCAGCACUCCAAGGGGGUGAGGUACAUUGUCAGUGUAUUUCAGGAUAAAUUGCAGCUGGUUGCUGGUAAUCCUUGUGGCAUAUCAGAUAGCAGCAUAGCUCGGCAAGGGUAAGCUGGAGAAACCCAAACAUCCUUCUGAGGAGGUAAUUAUUCCAUUGUGAAAAUGCCCCGGGAUAUUUUUAGUGGCCAAACCCCCUGUUUCCUGACAGAAACAUAAAAUAAUGAAGCAAGCUUCACAAGGAGAGACGCCUCAGACACCUGUAUUAGCUGGUGCUUUGCAGUCACGUCAGCGUUUAAUUCGCUGUGUGCAUCCCUGUACGGCAGAAUCCACACCUGCGUUUGGGGCACUGAGCGCUCUGCCAGCCUCUGCCUCGCACAAAACCCUCUCCAUAAACAAAUCUGCAAAUCCUGCUGGAUCAAGAAGAAUUUCACGGGAAUAUAGAGCUGCCUGCAACAAGAGGGACACCCUUGCCACACACACCGAGGUUAUCAAGGGAAACUUUCCUUAACAGGAGUCUCACAACCAGCGAAAAAGCC
Melozone crissalis (California towhee) is the source of this 1045-nucleotide long non-coding RNA. RefSeq lists it as uncharacterized. The transcript has 4 exons. NCBI's taxonomy places the organism in Eukaryota, Metazoa, Chordata, Aves, Passeriformes, Passerellidae. The record is from RefSeq and is a predicted model, not a curated record.